This 451-nucleotide ribosomal RNA is filed under the name uncultured bacterium. RNAcentral describes it as "bacterial SSU rRNA". It matches the Rfam family "Bacterial small subunit ribosomal RNA", at positions 8 to 461 of the family's 1533-position model. The record is from RNAcentral.
AGAGUUUGAUCCUGGCUCAGAUUGAACGCUGGCGGCAUGCUUCACACAUGCAAGUCGAACGGCAGCACGGGCUUCGGCCUGGUGGCGAGUGGCGAACGGGUGAGUAAUGCGUCGGAACGCGCCGAGUAGUGGGGGAUAACGCAGCGAAAGCUGUGCUAAUACCGCAUACGUACUGAGGUAGAAAGUGGGGGACCUUCGGGCCUCACGCUAUUCGAGCGGCCGACGUCUGAUUAGCUAGUUGGUGGGGUAAAGGCUCACCAAGGCGACGAUCAGUAGCGGGUCUGAGAGGAUGAUCCGCCACACUGGGACUGAGACACGGCUCAGACUCCUACGGGAGGCAGCAGUGGGGAAUUUUGGACAGUGGGCGCAAGCCUGAUCCAGCCAUGCCGCGUGUCUGAAGAAGGCCUUCGGGUUGUAAAGGACUUUUGUCCGGGAGCAAAGCCUACUUGUU